RNAcentral lists this ribosomal RNA (230 nucleotides) under uncultured bacterium. Its description in RNAcentral is "partial 16S ribosomal RNA". It matches the Rfam family "Bacterial small subunit ribosomal RNA", at positions 87 to 334 of the family's 1533-position model. The record is from RNAcentral.
UAACACGAGUGGCGCACGGGUGAGUAACGCGUGGAUAUCUGCCUUUUGGUUCGGAAUAACCCCGGGAAACUGGGGCUAAUACCGGAUGGUUCCUACGGGAUAAAGAUUUAUCGCCAAAAGAUGAGUCCGCGUACGAUUAGCUAGUUGGUGAGGUAAUGGCUCACCAAGGCGACGAUCGUUAGCUGGUCUGAGAGGACGAUCAGCCACACUGGGACUGAGACACGGCCCAG